UUGUUUCUCUCCACUUGCCAAUCAGCCAUUCCUGAGAAUCAACUGGCUUUACAGGCGAAGACUAGUAGCCAUGACUGAAGGUAAUGGGAUCAAGGCUCCAGAGAAGCUUGAGGGUUAUUUUAAAGCUAUGGCAAUUUGUUGGCUCCUCGGACUAGGGUCCUUAGUCGCAUGGAACAGCGUGCUUACUAUAGGAGAUUACUAUGGAGUAUUGUUUCCGAACUACCAUCCUUCAAGGGUUCUCACUCUUGUUUAUCAACCAUUUGCAUUCAUUUCAAUGGGAAUACUUGCAUACAAGGAAGCAACCGUUAAUACCAGAAAGAGGAUUUUAGUUGGAUAUACUCUCUUCUUUAUUGGUACCUUGAUGAUGAUUGUCGUGGAUCUUGCUACAUCCGGCCACGGAGGAGUCGGACCUUAUAUUGGUAUAUGUGCAAUGGUUGGUGUAUUUGGGGUUGCAGAUGGUCAUGUUCAAGGUGGAGUCAUUGGUGAUUUAUCCUUGAUGCGCCCUGAAUUCAUCCAGUCCUUCUUUGCUGGCUUGGCUGCAUCAGGUGCUCUAACAUCUGCCUUGAGGCUGAUGACGAGGGCUGCUUUUGAGAAGUAUCAUAAUGGUCUUCGUAAGGGAACAAUCAUGUUCUUGGCCCUUUCCACAUUCAUCGAGUUCCUGUGUAUAUUUCUGUAUGCAAUGUACUUCUCUAAGUUACCUAUAGUAAAGCACUAUCGCUCAAAGGCAGCCUCAGAAGGCUCCAAAACUGUAAUGGCUGAUCUUGCUGCCGGUGGCAUCCAAACACAAGUAGACAUAGAAUAACAAACUUCUCAAUUUUCACAGGCAAUUCCACAACGAUUGACCACUAAGCAAUUAUUCAUUCAGAAUUAUGAUUAUGCACUAGGCAUAUUUCUGAUAUAUGCACUGACAUUAUCAAUCUUCCCUGGUUUCCUUUUCGAAAACACUGGAGAACACAAACUGGGCACAUGGUAUCCCCUUGUUCUGAUUGCAAUGUACAACGUGUUGGAUCUUAUAUCAAGAUACACACCACUUAUACCAUGCUUGAAGAUUGAAAACAGAAAGGGCCUCAUGAUUGCAAUUGGACUGCGUUUUCUCUUUGUUCCAGCAUUCUACUUCACUGCAAAAUAUGCUGAUCAAGGUUGGAUGAUCCUGCUCACCUCACUCUUGGGUUUUACAAAUGGUCAUCUUACUGUUUGUCUCAUGACAGUGGCACCGAAAGGUUACAUGGGACCUGAGCAGAAUGCCUUGGGCAAUGUCCUUGCUUUCUGUCUUAUGUGUGGCAUAUUUGCUGGGGUUUUACUCGAUUGGUUGUGGAUCAUUGGCAAUGGGAAAUUUUGAAGAGUCAGAUGAUGAAAUAAAGUUGCUGUUUGAAUGGUGAUGUCAUGUUUGGAUGAAGAUCGAUAGGAAUUAUCAAGUGCUAUUCAUGUAUAUUUUGUUGUGUUUUUUAAGCUAGAUAGGCAAAGUAAUUAACAAGAUUGAUUUCUUACCAAUCGUCAGUAGAAAAAUGAUAAUGGGUUUUCUCAAGGAUGUUUUGGGUUGAUUUCUCCUAUCUAUGUCUGUCAUCUACAACGAUCAGUAGUAAAAUGAAAAUGUCAAGUAAUAACCUUAUAAACAGU
This is an RNA transcript of Fragaria vesca subsp. vesca, 1617 nucleotides long. It is a transcript of the gene named equilibrative nucleotide transporter 3-like, with no coding region annotated. NCBI's taxonomy places the organism in Eukaryota, Viridiplantae, Streptophyta, Magnoliopsida, Rosales, Rosaceae. The record is from RefSeq and is a predicted model, not a curated record. The transcript has 10 exons.